GGGGAUAACAUUUGGAAACAGAUGCUAAUACCGAAUAAAACUCAGUGUCGCAUGACACAAAGUUAAAAGGCGCUUUGGCGUCACCUAGAGAUGGAUCCGCGGUGCAUUAGUUAGUUGGUGGGGUAAAGGCCUACCAAGACAAUGAUGCAUAGCCGAGUUGAGAGACUGAUCGGC
RNAcentral lists this ribosomal RNA (174 nucleotides) under Leuconostoc pseudomesenteroides. RNAcentral describes it as "partial 16S ribosomal RNA". It matches the Rfam family "Bacterial small subunit ribosomal RNA", at positions 139 to 308 of the family's 1533-position model. Lineage: Bacteria; Bacillati; Bacillota; Bacilli; Lactobacillales; Lactobacillaceae. The record is from RNAcentral.